This 407-nucleotide ribosomal RNA is filed under the name uncultured microorganism. RNAcentral's name for it is "bacterial SSU rRNA". It matches the Rfam family "Bacterial small subunit ribosomal RNA", at positions 509 to 917 of the family's 1533-position model. The record is from RNAcentral.
CAGCCGCCGCGGUAAUACGUAGGGGGCGAGCGUUACCCGGAUUCACUGGGCGUAAAGCGGGUGUAGGCGGCUCGGUAAGUCGGGUGUGAAAUCCCACAGCUCAACUGUGGAAUUGCGCCCGAAACUGCUGAGCUUGGGGCCGGUAGAGGGAGACGGAACUGCCGGUGUAGGGGUGAAAUCCGUAGAUAUCGGCAGGAACGCCGGUGGGGAAGCCGGUCUCCUGGGCCGCGCCCGACGCUGAGACCCGAAAGCUAGGGGAGCAAACCGGAUUAGAUACCCGGGUAGUCCUAGCCGUAAACGAUGCCCACUAGGUGUGGGGGAUUAAUUCCUCCGUGCUGUAGCUAACGCGUUAAGUGGGCCGCCUGGGGAGUACGCCCGCAAGGGUGAAACUUAAAGGAAUUGGCGGG